This 253-nucleotide ribosomal RNA is filed under the name uncultured bacterium. RNAcentral's name for it is "partial 16S ribosomal RNA". It matches the Rfam family "Bacterial small subunit ribosomal RNA", at positions 524 to 776 of the family's 1533-position model. The record is from RNAcentral.
UACGGGGGGGGCAAGCGUUGUUCGGAAUUACUGGGCGUAAAGGGCUCGUAGGCGGCCAACUAAGUCGGAUGUGAAAUCCCCAGGCUUAACCUGGGAACUGCAUCCGAUACUGGAUGGCUUGAAUCCGGGAGAGGGAUGCAGAAUUCCAGGUGUAGCGGUGAAAUGCGUAGAUAUCUGGAGGAACCCCAGAGGCGAAGGCGGCCCCCUGGCUCGUACCUGACGCUCAGGAGCGAAAGCGUGGGGAGCGAACAGG